AUAUGAUGUAUCAUAUAUGCUUUUAUUUUAUUCUAUUCAUUCAUAUAUAUAUAUAUUAUAUUCCCUUGUAACCAAUAAUUCUGUUGCAUCUCAUAUCGCAACCAAGAAGACCCCUCAGCGCCGUUUUGCAAGGAAGACUCCGCAGCGCCGCAAACGCCAACCAACCGUGGCCGUCGAGAAGACCCCACCGUCACCGCCCGAGGCCGUCGAGAGAACCACGCCGUGACCGCCCGAGGACGUGGAGAACAGCCCGCCUUCAUCGCCCGAGGAAGUCCGUGCCCCGCCUCUGAUCAGCGCCGAAGGGAGAGCGGCGGCUGAACACCCCGCCGUCACCGACUCGGAAACCGUCCGCGCUGUGCCUUCGGUCAGAGUUGAAGGCAGAGGAGCGCUCACGACCGAAAGGAGCAUUCUAGCAGUUUUACUCGCGUGGGCAACGCCAUCGCCGACCAGCUGAACAUCCGAUCCGAGGCCUGGACCCCCUGAUUUUUAGACCUGAGCGAAGAAAUUAAGUUAGUAUGCUCUAACAAGGAAGCCGUAAAACAACCAUUCUAUCUCAAGUUUAAGCUCUCAAC
Molecule: long non-coding RNA, 572 nt
Organism: Arachis stenosperma
Lineage: Eukaryota; Viridiplantae; Streptophyta; Magnoliopsida; Fabales; Fabaceae
Exons: 4
Source: RefSeq, a predicted model, not a curated record